Molecule: ribosomal RNA, 349 nt
Filed under: Iassomorphus sp. SK-2013
Lineage: Eukaryota; Metazoa; Arthropoda; Insecta; Hemiptera; Cicadellidae
Description: partial 12S ribosomal RNA
Source: RNAcentral
CCUAUUAUAGAUUUUUUAUUAAAUUUGAUUAUUAUUAGUUAAGUUCUUUAAAAUUCAAAGAUUUUGGCGGUUAAUUAAUUCUUCUUAGAGGAACAUGUAUUUUAAUUGAUAAUCCACGAUAUUUUAUACCAUUUUGUAUUUGUAUAUCUCUAUUGUUAGAAAAUUUUAUAUAAAAUUUUCCUUUAUUAUAUUAAGUGUAAUUUUAGGUCAAGGUGCAGUUUUAAUUAAUGGUUUAUAUGUGUUACUUAUAUUUUAUAAAAUAUUAAGUUCUUAUUGGUUUUAUUUAGGAUUUAAAAGUAAAUUAAAUUAAUUAAUUUUUUUAAAAUAAGCUCUAGUUAAUGUACACAUC